RNAcentral lists this transfer RNA (60 nucleotides) under Methylophilaceae bacterium. Its description in RNAcentral is "tRNA-Ser". It matches the Rfam family "tRNA", at positions 17 to 71 of the family's 71-position model. Rfam says of the family: Transfer RNA (tRNA) molecules are approximately 80 nucleotides in length. Their secondary structure includes four short double-helical elements and three loops (D, anti-codon, and T loops). Further hydrogen bonds mediate the characteristic L-shaped molecular structure. tRNAs have two regions of fundamental functional importance: the anti-codon, which is responsible for specific mRNA codon recognition, and the 3' end, to which the tRNAs corresponding amino acid is attached (by aminoacyl-tRNA synthetases). tRNAs cope with the degeneracy of the genetic code in two manners: having more than one tRNA (with a specific anti-codon) for a particular amino acid; and 'wobble' base-pairing, i.e. permitting non-standard base-pairing at the 3rd anti-codon position. The record is from RNAcentral. Lineage: Bacteria; Pseudomonadati; Pseudomonadota; Betaproteobacteria; Nitrosomonadales; Methylophilaceae.
GGUUAGAGCAGCGGACUCAUAAUCCGUUGGUACUGUGUUCGACUCACAGAGGGGCCACCA